CCUACGGGAGGCAGCAGUGGGGAAUAUUGCACAAUGGGGGAAACCCUGAUGCAGCGACGCCGCGUGAGUGAAGAAGUAUUUCGGUACGUAAAGCCCUAUCAGCAGGGAAGAAAAUGACGGUACCUGACUAAGAAGCCCCGGCUAACUACGUGCCAGCAGCCGCGGUAAUACGUAGGGGGCAAGCGUUACCCGGAUUUACUGGGUGUAAAGGGAGCGUAGGCGGCAGCGCAAGUCAGGAGUGAAAUCCCAUGGCUUAACCAUGGAACUGCUUUGGAAACUGUGCAGCUAGAGUGCAGGAGAGGUAGGCGGAAUUCCUGGUGUAGCGGUGAAAUGCGUAGAGAUUAGGAGGAACAC
RNAcentral lists this ribosomal RNA (354 nucleotides) under uncultured bacterium. RNAcentral's name for it is "partial 16S ribosomal RNA". It matches the Rfam family "Bacterial small subunit ribosomal RNA", at positions 338 to 709 of the family's 1533-position model. The record is from RNAcentral.